Molecule: ribosomal RNA, 376 nt
Filed under: uncultured bacterium
Lineage: Bacteria
Also listed under: 1 other name
Description: bacterial SSU rRNA
Rfam family: Bacterial small subunit ribosomal RNA
Source: RNAcentral
UAAUACGUAGGGGGCAAGCGUUGUCCGGAAUUAUUGGGCGUAAAGCGCGCGCAGGCGGCUAUUUAAGUCUGGUGUUUAAACCUUGGGCUCAACCUGAGGUCGCACUGGAAACUGGGUGGCUUGAGUACAGAAGAGGAAAGUGGAAUUCCACGUGUAGCGGUGAAAUGCGUAGAUAUGUGGAGGAACACCAGUGGCGAAGGCGACUUUCUGGGCUGUAACUGACGCUGAGGCGCGAAAGCGUGGGGAGCAAACAGGAUUAGAUACCCUGGUAGUCCACGCCGUAAACGAUGAGUGCUAGGUGUUAGGGGUUUCGAUACCCUUGGUGCCGAAGUUAACACAGUAAGCACUCCGCCUGGGGAGUACGGUCGCAAGACUG